Molecule: ribosomal RNA, 440 nt
Filed under: uncultured bacterium
Lineage: Bacteria
Description: partial 16S ribosomal RNA
Rfam family: Bacterial small subunit ribosomal RNA
Source: RNAcentral
CCUACGGGAGGCAGCAGUGGGGAAUAUUGCACAAUGGGGGAAACCCUGAUGCAGCGACGCCGCGUGAGUGAAGAAGUAUUUCGGUAUGUAAAGCUCUAUCAGCAGGGAAGAAAAUGACGGUACCUGACUAAGAAGCCCCGGCUAACUACGUGCCAGCAGCCGCGGUAAUACGUAGGGGGCAAGCGUUAUCCGGAUUUACUGGGUGUAAAGGGAGCGUAGACGGCAGCACAAGUCUGGAGUGAAAUGCCGGGGCUUAACCCCGGAACUGCUUUGGAAACUGUGCAGCUAGAGUGCAGGAGCGGUAAGUGGAAUUCCUAGUGUAGCGGUGAAAUGCGUAGAUAUUAGGAGGAACACCAGUGGCGAAGGCGGCUUACUGGACUGUAACUGACGUUGAGGCUCGAAAGCGUGGGGAGCAAACAGGAUUAGAUACCCCAGUAGUC